UUGAACGCUGGCGGCAGGCCUAACACAUGCAAGUCGAGCGGAUGAAGGGAGCUUGCUCCUGGAUUCAGCGGCGGACGGGUGGGUAAUGCCUAGGAAUCUGCCUGGUAGUGGGGGAUAACGUCCGGAAACGGGCGCUAAUACCGCAUACGUCCUGAGGGAGAAAGUGGGGGAUCUUCGGACCUCACGCUAUCAGAUGAGCCUAGGUCGGAUUAGCUAGUUGGUGGGGUAAAGGCCUACCAAGGCGACGAUCCGUAACUGGUCUGAGAGGAUGAUCAGUCACACUGGAACUGAGACACGGUCCAGACUCCUACGGGAGGCAGCAGUGGGGAAUAUUGGACAAUGGGCGAAAGCCUGAUCCAGCCAUGCCGCGUGUGUGAAGAAGGUCUUCGGAUUGUAAAGCCCUUUAAGUUGGGAGGAAGGGCAGUAAGUUAAUACCUUGCUGUUUUGACGUUACCAACAGAAUAAGCACCGGCUAACUUCGUG
RNAcentral lists this ribosomal RNA (483 nucleotides) under uncultured bacterium. RNAcentral's name for it is "partial 16S ribosomal RNA". It matches the Rfam family "Bacterial small subunit ribosomal RNA", at positions 30 to 507 of the family's 1533-position model. The record is from RNAcentral.